CAGCUGGCCUCCCUGAGCCUCGGUCUUCUGUAAGCAGAACCAACCUCACCGGUGCCUGCCUCAUAAAGCCGAGAGCAGAAUUCAAGAAUGAACCAGAAGCACUGUCCCAAAAGGGUUAAAAUAGCCCAGUGCGUGGGACAGCACACAGGAAGCACAGGAAAUGUUAGGUGGCGCAGUAACCCCAGCAAGCCACGGGCCCAGGGCUCGCCACAGCCUGCAGGUUUGUAAUCCCCAGACCUUCACGGACUCCGGGGGCGCAGGCCCACGCGUGGGUCCAGACGAACGGCGAGCAGUACGGGGUGUCCGUGCGACCCCGUGGUACAUGGCCAGAGAGAGAAUGAAGUUCUGGUAAGCGCUCCAAGACGAGGCCCUGAGAACAUCAGGUAAAAAGGCCGAUCUCCAAACUCCGCAUGGGGUUUGAAUCCUUUCAUAGGAGUGUCCUGAGCAGGAGAAUCCAGAGAAACAGAACGAACCCCCAGCUUUGUCAGGAAGGAGUUAAAGCAGCUCAGCACUGGGCCCAGGACACGGAGCGAGCCCGGCUUAGCUGCCAGGCUGGGAGCCGGAGGGUGGGGCGAGGGCAUCCUGCCGGGCGGUGCUUUCCAGAAGAGAAUGUCUUGGAACCACACAGAGGUGGUGUAUACACAGCAUUGUGAGGUACAAGUGCCACCAAAUUCUACACUUCGGGUGAUUUUGCCUCGAUUUUUAAAAAAUGAAAAAAAAGGUGUAGAGACUUGCCUGGGCUCAGGGUCACAAGGGCAACGAGUGACACCACAGAGCAACGAUUCCCCAUUGGGCCAAGUGCAGGCCACAGGACAGAUCUCUCCACUUGCCAGAGCCUGUGACCUUUACCAUGACCCAAUUUUGAGGAGAGGAGUCACUGGGUCAAAGGUAACAACCCACACACAGAUGACACAUUUGGGGACUGGGCCUCUCCCUGCGUGGGCAUCUGGGUGGGAGGGAGCACUGGCCCAGCCAGAACCCCAGGGGACUGCUCACAGAGCCAGCGAGGGUGGACCGCCCUUUGGCCUGCACUUUCUGGUUGAGCCUGAGAUUUCCACCCCCGCCUGCUGCCUGCCUGGGUUAUAUUUAAUCCUGCUGCUUCCAGAAACCAGGACUCAAGGACAGUGUGGCCUCCUUCUGGCUCCAGAGCCCUGUGGGGUUCGUCACAACACAGCUGCCUCUGGUCACUGAGCAGCCUCAGUUUCCUCCUCUGAAAACACAGUCCAGGGAAGCUUCUGUGGGACGGUGCGGGAAGUGCUAGGCACCUGGGGACAGAGGCACAGGGAGCCUUUGUCCAUGUGCUCCUAAGACACCCCAGGCUGUUCUCCUGAGGAGUUGCUUAUGGAUUAGAAACAUGUUCAAGUCCAAGGUGUAGGGUCAAGUGGGAGAGCGAGGGCAGCCAGGAGCCUGGCCCUGCUGAAGGCUCACCUGUGGGAGCUACUGCCACUUCUCUGGGCUUUAAAUGCUUUGCCCACAUGUUUCCAUAUACGCAGGUCGUUUCUGGAAGGCCACGGGGAGGCUGUGGACAGCAAUCAGUCCCUCCAGAGAUGAGCAGGAAGGAGAUGUUUUACUUAAGUUCUCACCAUGAGCAUGUAUUACUUUUGUAACACAGUAACAGUUUAACAUGUAAUUAAGCUCUGAAACAAGAAGCUUUAACUCUUAUGACCACCCCAACUAACCGAAGAGGAACGUGGCUCCUGGGCCUCACCUCCUCCAGGAAGUCCUUCUACAGGCCCAGCGCCCCAGCUACACCACCUUCCCCAGAUGGAAAGGAGCACCCUGCCUGCCGCCUUUCCUCAUCUGCCUCUCCCGUGAAGCUAGGAGGGCCUGGACGGAGGGGCCUGUCUGACUCAUCCCGGAUCCCCGGUUCCGGCAAGACGCCCGGCACUGCUGAGUGAAGGAAUGAGGCUCGGAGAGGUUACAGCAGCGGCCUUGACCUCUGGAGAUCACAGAGUACGUGGUUUGGCAGGGUGAGACCCAGUCUCUGGGCUCUAACCUCACCACACCCUGACUUCUGUAGCAUGGCUCCCUCCCACUCACUAAAAAUGUCCCAAAGAGGCCACCUAGAUGUCACUACACGGCCUCCAGCCCUUGUGUAGGUGUUGUGGCAUUCAGGUUUGGGAGCAAAGAUUGUUCAGGGCCCGGGGGUAGCUGGAAAUGCCCAUGUGUACAUUAGGAAAGCCAUAAAAGAAGGGUAAUUUGCCCCUUUGGCCAAGAACGUCAUAAAAUAAAGAGUGGUUUGCCCUCCUGGCUCCUUAUCUGAUACUUCAAAACUGAGGUCUUAGCUGGGUGCAGUGGCGCCCACCUGUAAUCCCAGCAGCUCAGAAGGCUGAGGCAGGAGGAUCAUGAGUUCAAGGCCAGCAUCGGCAAUUUAGCAAGGCCCUAAGCAACUCAGUGAGACCCUCUCUCAAACUAAAAUAUAAAAAGGGCUGGGUAUGUGACUCAGUGGUUAAGCGCCCCUAGGUUCAAUCCCCAGUGGCGCCCCCCCCAAAAAAAAAAAAACAACCGAGGUCUUGGUCUUCCAAGUUAGUAUAGACCUUUUUUGGGAGGGGGGCGGUACCAGGGAUUGAAUGGGAGGCAACAGUAGACACCACGGAUGGG
Molecule: long non-coding RNA, 2601 nt
Filed under: Marmota monax (woodchuck)
Lineage: Eukaryota; Metazoa; Chordata; Mammalia; Rodentia; Sciuridae
Source: RNAcentral